This 2925-nucleotide ribosomal RNA is filed under the name Escherichia coli. RNAcentral's name for it is "partial 23S ribosomal RNA". It matches the Rfam family "Bacterial large subunit ribosomal RNA". Lineage: Bacteria; Pseudomonadati; Pseudomonadota; Gammaproteobacteria; Enterobacterales; Enterobacteriaceae. The record is from RNAcentral.
GGGUUGUGAGGUUAAGCGACUAAGCGUACACGGUGGAUGCCCUGGCAGUCAGAGGCGAUGAAGGACGUGCUAAUCUGCGAUAAGCGUCGGUAAGGUGAUAUGAACCGUUAUAACCGGCGAUUUCCGAAUGGGGAAACCCAGUGUGUUUCGACACACUAUCAUUAACUGAAUCCAUAGGUUAAUGAGGCGAACCGGGGGAACUGAAACAUCUAAGUACCCCGAGGAAAAGAAAUCAACCGAGAUUCCCCCAGUAGCGGCGAGCGAACGGGGAGCAGCCCAGAGCCUGAAUCAGUGUGUGUGUUAGUGGAAGCGUCUGGAAAGGCGCGCGAUACAGGGUGACAGCCCCGUACACAAAAAUGCACAUGCUGUGAGCUCGAUGAGUAGGGCGGGACACGUGGUAUCCUGUCUGAAUAUGGGGGGACCAUCCUCCAAGGCUAAAUACUCCUGACUGACCGAUAGUGAACCAGUACCGUGAGGGAAAGGCGAAAAGAACCCCGGCGAGGGGAGUGAAAAAGAACCUGAAACCGUGUACGUACAAGCAGUGGGAGCACGCUUAGGCGUGUGACUGCGUACCUUUUGUAUAAUGGGUCAGCGACUUAUAUUCUGUAGCAAGGUUAACCGAAUAGGGGAGCCGAAGGGAAACCGAGUCUUAACUGGGCGUUAAGUUGCAGGGUAUAGACCCGAAACCCGGUGAUCUAGCCAUGGGCAGGUUGAAGGUUGGGUAACACUAACUGGAGGACCGAACCGACUAAUGUUGAAAAAUUAGCGGAUGACUUGUGGCUGGGGGUGAAAGGCCAAUCAAACCGGGAGAUAGCUGGUUCUCCCCGAAAGCUAUUUAGGUAGCGCCUCGUGAAUUCAUCUCCGGGGGUAGAGCACUGUUUCGGCAAGGGGGUCAUCCCGACUUACCAACCCGAUGCAAACUGCGAAUACCGGAGAAUGUUAUCACGGGAGACACACGGCGGGUGCUAACGUCCGUCGUGAAGAGGGAAACAACCCAGACCGCCAGCUAAGGUCCCAAAGUCAUGGUUAAGUGGGAAACGAUGUGGGAAGGCCCAGACAGCCAGGAUGUUGGCUUAGAAGCAGCCAUCAUUUAAAGAAAGCGUAAUAGCUCACUGGUCGAGUCGGCCUGCGCGGAAGAUGUAACGGGGCUAAACCAUGCACCGAAGCUGCGGCAGCGACGCUGAUGCGUUGUUGGGUAGGGGAGCGUUCUGUAAGCCUGCGAAGGUGUGCUGUGAGGCAUGCUGGAGGUAUCAGAAGUGCGAAUGCUGACAUAAGUAACGAUAAAGCGGGUGAAAAGCCCGCUCGCCGGAAGACCAAGGGUUCCUGUCCAACGUUAAUCGGGGCAGGGUGAGUCGACCCCUAAGGCGAGGCCGAAAGGCGUAGUCGAUGGGAAACAGGUUAAUAUUCCUGUACUUGGUGUUACUGCGAAGGGGGGACGGAGAAGGCUAUGUUGGCCGGGCGACGGUUGUCCCGGUUUAAGCGUGUAGGCUGGUUUUCCAGGCAAAUCCGGAAAAUCAAGGCUGAGGCGUGAUGACGAGGCACUACGGUGCUGAAGCAACAAAUGCCCUGCUUCCAGGAAAAGCCUCUAAGCAUCAGGUAACAUCAAAUCGUACCCCAAACCGACACAGGUGGUCAGGUAGAGAAUACCAAGGCGCUUGAGAGAACUCGGGUGAAGGAACUAGGCAAAAUGGUGCCGUAACUUCGGGAGAAGGCACGCUGAUAUGUAGGUGAAGUCCCUCGCGGAUGGAGCUGAAAUCAGUCGAAGAUACCAGCUGGCUGCAACUGUUUAUUAAAAACACAGCACUGUGCAAACACGAAAGUGGACGUAUACGGUGUGACGCCUGCCCGGUGCCGGAAGGUUAAUUGAUGGGGUUAGCGCAAGCGAAGCUCUUGAUCGAAGCCCCGGUAAACGGCGGCCGUAACUAUAACGGUCCUAAGGUAGCGAAAUUCCUUGUCGGGUAAGUUCCGACCUGCACGAAUGGCGUAAUGAUGGCCAGGCUGUCUCCACCCGAGACUCAGUGAAAUUGAACUCGCUGUGAAGAUGCAGUGUACCCGCGGCAAGACGGAAAGACCCCGUGAACCUUUACUAUAGCUUGACACUGAACAUUGAGCCUUGAUGUGUAGGAUAGGUGGGAGGCUUUGAAGUGUGGACGCCAGUCUGCAUGGAGCCGACCUUGAAAUACCACCCUUUAAUGUUUGAUGUUCUAACGUUGACCCGUGAUCCGGGUUGCGGACAGUGUCUGGUGGGUAGUUUGACUGGGGCGGUCUCCUCCUAAAGAGUAACGGAGGAGCACGAAGGUUGGCUAAUCCUGGUCGGACAUCAGGAGGUUAGUGCAAUGGCAUAAGCCAGCUUGACUGCGAGCGUGACGGCGCGAGCAGGUGCGAAAGCAGGUCAUAGUGAUCCGGUGGUUCUGAAUGGAAGGGCCAUCGCUCAACGGAUAAAAGGUACUCCGGGGAUAACAGGCUGAUACCGCCCAAGAGUUCAUAUCGACGGCGGUGUUUGGCACCUCGAUGUCGGCUCAUCACAUCCUGGGGCUGAAGUAGGUCCCAAGGGUAUGGCUGUUCGCCAUUUAAAGUGGUACGCGAGCUGGGUUUAGAACGUCGUGAGACAGUUCGGUCCCUAUCUGCCGUGGGCGCUGGAGAACUGAGGGGGGCUGCUCCUAGUACGAGAGGACCGGAGUGGACGCAUCACUGGUGUUCGGGUUGUCAUGCCAAUGGCACUGCCCGGUAGCUAAAUGCGGAAGAGAUAAGUGCUGAAAGCAUCUAAGCACGAAACUUGCCCCGAGAUGAGUUCUCCCUGACUCCUUGAGAGUCCUGAAGGAACGUUGAAGACGACGACGUUGAUAGGCCGGGUGUGUAAGCGCAGCGAUGCGUUGAGCUAACCGGUACUAAUGAACCGUGAGGCUUAACCUUACAACGCCGAAG